UACGUAGGGUGCAAGCGUUAAUCGGAAUUACUGGGCGUAAAGCGUGCGCAGGCGGUUAUGUAAGACAGAUGUGAAAUCCCCGGGCUCAACCUGGGAACUGCAUUUGUGACUGCAUAGCUAGAGUACGGUAGAGGGGGAUGGAAUUCCGGCGUGUAGCAGUGAAAUGCGUAGAUAUGCGGAGGAACACCGAUGGCGAAGGCAAUCCCCUGGACCUGUACUGACGCUCAUGCACGAAAAGGCGUGGGGAGCAAACAGG
Molecule: ribosomal RNA, 256 nt
Filed under: uncultured bacterium
Lineage: Bacteria
Description: partial 16S ribosomal RNA
Rfam family: Bacterial small subunit ribosomal RNA
Source: RNAcentral